CCUACGGGGGGCUGCAGUCGAGAGGCUUCGUCAAUGCCCGAAAGGGUGAACGAGCGACGCCGCGUGCGGGAUGAAGGCCUUCGGGUUGUAAACCGCUUUUAUUAGGGACGAACGCACUGAUCGUGAAUUGGUGCUUGACGGUACUUGAUGAAUAAGCCUCGGCUAACUCCGUGCCAGCAGCCGCGGUAAUACGGAGGAGGCGAGCGUUGUUCGGAAUCAUUGGGCGUAAAGGGCUCGUAGGCGGACCUGUGUGUCUUGCGUGAAAUCUCCACCGCUUACCGGGGAGGGUGCGUAGGAAACUGCAGGUCUUGAGUAUGAUAGAGGGUCGCGGAAUUCCGGGUGUAGCGGUGGAAUGCGUAGAUAUCCGGAGGAACACCGGUGGCGAAGGCGGCGGCCUGGAUCAAUACUGACGCUGAGGAGCGAAAGCUAGGGUAGCAAACGGGAUUAGAUACCCCAGUAGUC
This 462-nucleotide ribosomal RNA is filed under the name uncultured bacterium. RNAcentral's name for it is "bacterial SSU rRNA". It matches the Rfam family "Bacterial small subunit ribosomal RNA", at positions 338 to 795 of the family's 1533-position model. The record is from RNAcentral.